This 253-nucleotide ribosomal RNA is filed under the name uncultured bacterium. RNAcentral's name for it is "partial 16S ribosomal RNA". It matches the Rfam family "Bacterial small subunit ribosomal RNA", at positions 524 to 776 of the family's 1533-position model. The record is from RNAcentral.
AACGUAGGAGACAAACGUUAUCCGGAGUUACUGGGCGUAAAGGGCGUGUAGGUGGUUUCGUAAGUCUGGCGUGAAAUUUUUCGGCUUAACCGGGAAAGGUCGUCGGAUACUGCGGAACUAGAGGACGGUAGAGGCGUGUGGAAUUCCGGGUGUAGUGGUGAAAUGCGUAGAUAUCUGGAGGAACAUCAGUGGCGAAGGCGACACCCUGGACUCAUACUGACACUGAGGUGCGAAAGCGUGGGGAGCAAACAGG